GCCCUGGUGGUCUAGCGGUAUGAUUCUUCCUUAGGGUUAUUGCAAGAUACACCCACUUGGAAGAGGUCCCAGGUUCGAUCCCUGGCCAGGGCC
This 93-nucleotide transfer RNA is filed under the name Colletotrichum navitas. RNAcentral describes it as "tRNA-Pro". Lineage: Eukaryota; Fungi; Ascomycota; Sordariomycetes; Glomerellales; Glomerellaceae. The record is from RNAcentral.